AUGGCAGGUGAAAACUUUAAAAGGCUGGAUACUAAGAAGAGACUGGAAGCCAAGAAAGCUGAUACUAGUGGCAAAGUGAAAAAGGGUAAGUCAAGGCGAAAAAGUCCAAGAAGAGGAAACUCCAGUGCAGCCGAAAUCCUGUCCUGAUCAGAGGAACUGGCAGAUAUUCCCUGUCUACUGUGUAUUCCAGAAAGGCCAGAUACAAGAGGAGGUACUCGCCACUAAAUUCAAGAUUGAAAAGGAAAAGGAAAAGGUUCAUGCAACUGUUACAAAACCGGUUGGUGGUGACAAGGAUGGUGGUACCCAGGUGGUUAAACUCUGCAAAAUGCAUAGAUAUUAUCCUACCGAAGAUGUGCCUCGAAAGCUGUUGAGCCACAGCAAAAAGCCCUCAGUCAGCACAGAGGAAACUGCGAGGCAACAUCACUCUUGGGACCGUUCUGAUCAUCCUCCCUGGGCACCACACAGGCAAGAGGGUGGCUUUCCUGAAGCAGCUGGGCAGUGGCUUGUUACUUGUGACUGGAUCUCUAGUUCUCAAUCAAGUUCCUCUGUGAGGAGCACACCAGAAAUUUGUCAUCACCACCUCCACAAAAAUUGAUAUCAGCAAUGUGAGAAUCCCAAAACAUCUCACUGAUACCAACCUCAAGAAGCAGCAGCUGCGGAAGCCCAGACACGGGAAGGUGAGAUCUCCAACACAGAAAAAGAGAAAUACGAGAUUACAGAACGGUGCAAGUUUGAUUAGAAAGAUGUGGACUUGCACAUUUUACUAAAAUAAUCAAAGCUGAUCCAUGUUUGCCCUGACGAAUAGAGUUUAUCCCCACAAAUUGGUGCUCUAA
This 833-nucleotide long non-coding RNA is filed under the name Homo sapiens (human). RNAcentral describes it as "non-protein coding lnc-GMPS-4:1". Lineage: Eukaryota; Metazoa; Chordata; Mammalia; Primates; Hominidae. The record is from RNAcentral.